RNAcentral lists this ribosomal RNA (238 nucleotides) under uncultured bacterium. Its description in RNAcentral is "partial 16S ribosomal RNA". It matches the Rfam family "Bacterial small subunit ribosomal RNA", at positions 100 to 334 of the family's 1533-position model. The record is from RNAcentral.
CGGAACGGGUGAGUAACGCGUGAGGAACCUGCCUCAAAGAGGGGGACAACAGUUGGAAACGACUGCUAAUACCGCAUAAGCCCACGGCUCGGCAUCGAGCAGAGGGAAAAGGAGCAAUCCGCUUUGAGAUGGCCUCGCGUCCGAUUAGCUGGUUGGUGAGGUAACGGCCCACCAAGGCGACGAUCGGUAGCCGGACUGAGAGGUUGAACGGCCACAUUGGGACUGAGACACGGCCCAG